RNAcentral lists this ribosomal RNA (253 nucleotides) under uncultured bacterium. Its description in RNAcentral is "partial 16S ribosomal RNA". It matches the Rfam family "Bacterial small subunit ribosomal RNA", at positions 524 to 776 of the family's 1533-position model. The record is from RNAcentral.
UACGGAGGGUGCAAGCGUUGCUCAGAAUCACUGGGCGUAAAGAGCGUGUAGGCGGUUUCGUAUGUCUGACGUGAAAGCCCCGGGCUCACCCCGGGAAGUGCGUUGGAAACUGCGAGACUAGAGUCCCGGAGAGGAAGGUGGAAUUCCAGGUGUAGCGGUGAAAUGCGUAGAUAUCUGGAAGAACACCGGUGGCGAAGGCGGCCUUCUGGACGGUGACUGACGAUGAGACGCGAAAGCGUGGGGAGCAAACAGG